RNAcentral lists this ribosomal RNA (253 nucleotides) under uncultured bacterium. RNAcentral describes it as "partial 16S ribosomal RNA". It matches the Rfam family "Bacterial small subunit ribosomal RNA", at positions 524 to 776 of the family's 1533-position model. The record is from RNAcentral.
UACGUAGGGGGCUAGCGUUGCUCGGAAUCACUGGGCGUAAAGGGUGCGUAGGCGGGUCUUUAAGUCAGGGGUGAAAUCCUGGAGCUCAACUCCAGAACUGCCUUUGAUACUGAAGAUCUUGAGUUCGGGAGAGGUGAGUGGAACUGCGAGUGUAGAGGUGAAAUUCGUAGAUAUUCGCAAGAACACCAGUGGCGAAGGCGGCUCACUGGCCCGAUACUGACGCUGAGGAGCGAAAGCGUGGGUAGCGAACAGG